GGGGAAUUUUGGACAAUGGGCGCAAGCCUGAUCCAGCAAUGCCGCGUGCAGGAUGAAGGCCUUCGGGUUGUAAACUGCUUUUGUACGGAGCGAAACGGCUCUCUCUAAUACAGGGGGCUAAUGACGGUACCGUAAGAAUAAGCACCGGCUAACUACGUGCCAGCAGCCGCGGUAAUACGUAGGGUGCAAGCGUUAAUCGGAAUUACUGGGCGUAAAGCGUGCGCAGGCGGUUUUGUAAGACAGAUGUGAAAUCCCCGGGCUCAACCUGGGACCUGCAUUUGUGACUGCAAAGCUAGAGUACGGCAGAGGGGGAUGGAAUUCCGCGUGUAGCAGUGAAAUGCGUAGAUAUGCGGAGGAACACCGAUGGCGAAGGCAAUCCCCUGGGCCUGUACUGACGCUCAUGCACGAAAGCGUGGGGAGCAAAC
This 425-nucleotide ribosomal RNA is filed under the name uncultured bacterium. RNAcentral describes it as "bacterial SSU rRNA". It matches the Rfam family "Bacterial small subunit ribosomal RNA", at positions 356 to 773 of the family's 1533-position model. The record is from RNAcentral.